AAGUUUAACCACAGUUUAUUUUGUAGACUGAGAGUUUAUAAAAUCAACCCACUCCUUGCUUUAAUUUCAAACUAUGUAUAGGUUUGAAGGAAAACACUGGGUUUGUAAAAAUUUCCAUAUUUUGGAUAUAAAUAUAAUGGUGGCUUCUAACACGAGGGAGCUAUCAAAUCCCUCACCGGUGAGGCACUUAAAAAAUACCUUUAGAUCAAAUGGAUGGUUAUGAUCUUUUAAAAAAAAGAAGAGAACACCUAUAGAUAUUUACAUUCAAUUUUACCCUUAAUAUUAUUCCUGAUUUCGUAUAACAUGUUUCGUAUAAGUUUUCUUUCAUCACAACAAAAACAAUUCUUCAUCAAAUCACAUAAAGCAUAUGCAAUCAUAGCCAUCUCCCUUAAGAAAACCCUAAUUUCAACACUCUGACCCUCUUCUUCAUCUUCCACCAAUUCGGCAGUAAUAAUAGUUUUAUUUACGGUAAAGCCAGCGAUAGAUUGUUGCUUCAGAGUUGAGAUUAUAUUUCGAAUACUUGAUUUCGUGCCGUACACACACAAGCGAAGUGUGGAGUGAAGCGUAGUGUAAGUAAUGAAUGCCAGCGAACCUUGAAUUUCCACCUCUGUUACAAGAAGAAGAAGAGCAGGCAGUACCAAUUCAACCAACAGCAGUCAGUCACCGAACGAGAAAGAUCUGUCUGUAAAAAGAGCAGAAAUCCCAAUCCCAAGGAAGGAAGGGAAGAAGAAGAAAGAGAGUAAAAAGGCGCUUUCACGAUCUGUGACUGACUGACCCUCAGUAAUGAUAAUGCUUGCUUGCUUAUGUUCAAAUUAAUCUAUCAGCGUGGGAGUGGGAAGGGAAGGGAAGGUUCAAAAUAUAUAAAGUAGCCAAUAUAAAUCAAAAACGGAUUUGUAAACAUGAAAGCUACUGUUACCAUAUCAGUAUUAUUAUUUCAUUUUACAUUAUCUAUUACUAAUAUAUUAAAAUCGAUUUUUGUUACUUCAUGUAUGAAUAUGAUGAUUUAAAUUCCUUGUCAGUUUAUAAUAAUGGAUUGUGUGAAUAUUUUCAGUGAUGGUAUACGCCUUCUUAUGGGUUUGUUAGUAAGGGCAUAGAUAUGAAAUUUGUUGAUGAUGAGGCAUAGAAUAUGGGCGGUGUAGCUAUGAGAUGAUGAUGUGUUGGUUGGUUAGGCUUUAAUAUGGGUGUAGCUAUAUGAAGUUUAUACUAUGUUUUAUGGUUUAUCUAGACUCUCAAGUUCUUCUGAGUAGUCAAGAUGCAAGUAGCAAUUGUACUUUUCAAAGUUUAGAAUUAGCUUCAAGAGCAGAUGCAAAGAGCUAUAAGUAAUAUUGGGAAUGGAAGUCAGAAAGGGAUGAAGAAAAGUUGAAAGACAGAACCAGAUUGAGUAUAUGAGUGGUUUGUAUGAUCCUUCAUUUUUCUGGAAUGAUCAAGCCUCCAAAAUUUCAAUUCUAUGAUUCAAAGACACCUUUCUUCACUUCCCCGAGAUUCUUACCACCCACCAGAGUAGAAAAAUGCAAGGUAUUCCCCGAGAUUCUUACCACCCACCAAAGUAGAAAAAUGCAAGGUAUUGAAUCUUUUUCAUCUUCUAUUUGGUAUACGCCUUCUUAUGGAUUUUGCUAUCUAGGAUACCAUGAUGAUGGGUGCUGAUUAGUGAUUACUAUCAAACUGAGACUGAAAUUGCAUCUCUGCUGGCAGAAGCAAAUGUCCUAGUUGGUGUUGGAUUAGUGCUGCUUUGUUUCAAUAGGAGCUAGCUGGGUGUCGAUUGUUGAAUUCAUUAGUGAAGCUGUCUGUGUAUUGUUGUGCUUCUGCUAUGCUGGUUCUGUUUUGUGUUAUAGAGGUCCAGCUUCAUGAUUUAUAUUUUGUUAGAGUAGGUGGUUGCAUUAUGGUUGUAUUGAUUUAGUACAGGGGCUGUACCAGUAUUUUUGUUCCAUUGUUGAAAGGGAGGAGUGUAUUGUAUCAUACUGUUGUUUUCUGAACCAGCACUUUUUGUGCUUAGUUCACUUAUUAAUCUAUUUUUGCUUUUCCAAAAAAAAAAAAAUCAUCCUAAAUCCAACUAUCCAAGUGACUAUUUUUUGUUUUGUUAUAAAUCAUUAAAUGUAAUGAUGAUGAAGUUAAUUUAGUAGGAGAUUUGGGAGCAUAAUUCAGUACUUCUAACACUGUUUCAGAGGUAGUUUUUGGCUUCAUUUCCUUUUUAUAAUAUUUGUUUGGUUUGUAUUUCAAAUCUGAACCAGCUUGUUUGAUACAAAAACUGGAUUUCUUAUAGUGAAUUGGUUUUGAACUGAUUUUGAUUUGAACCAGUCUCAAAUUUGGUUUUUGUUUUGCCACCGUAAACAUCAAAAUGAGACAUUAAUAUCAGAUCUGGAAUUCUCUUAUCAUCCUCUUCCUACGUAUCCGAAUGAAAUCACAAAUCGAUUGCGAUGCUUUAAAUGCGACGGCGUCUGGUGGUCACGGUAGCAAAUGGGUCUCGGAGAAGAACCUUAGUGGUGAAAGUUUACCGGUGAAGUUAUUAAGGUCAUAUUUUUCUGUUGUUUCUUUCUUUCUCUCCUCUUUUAUGUUGUUUCUGAUUAUUUCGUUCUUUUUUCAAAUUGCAAUAACUGGAACCCAAAUUAAAAGCUUCACUUUCAGGUAUCAACAUAAGGAUAUCAUAUUUUUUGUAUUUUCUGUCUACAAAAAUUAUUCUGAUACUUGGAUCUGUCAUGAAUGUUGAAAUUUAUAUUUGUGCAUCCUUAGUUUUCAUCUAUCUAUACGAACUGUUGAAAAUUGUUAGAAUAUGAUCAAUGAUUUGUCUCUGUUUGAUAUGAUGUAUUAUUCUUAUACUUGGAUCUGUCAUGAAUCUUUGAUAUCUAAAGUUAGAAAGAGAUAUAUUGAGUUACUUGUUAAGAUAAUCUAGAGUAGAUGUAUAAUUUGUCUCUGUUUGAUAUGAUUUUAAAUAACUGAAAAGUUAUAUGGGUGAAAAGAGAAAAGUGGAGAUAAAAUGUUAGAGAUGCCAUACUAAUACUUUCAGCUCUUCCUGGUUCAAGAAUAGAUUCAAGUGAUUUUUAGAAGAUGCUAACAGAACUAUGAGAUGUGCAAAGGCUACUUCAACAAAGCUUUGAUUCAGAUGAGGAAGAGAAACAAGUUUAAAUGAGACACUUGCAUUUUAUCAUAGGUAAAUGUAUUUUAGUGACAUUAUUUAUUGAUGUAUGUUUUAGUGAAGAAUGUUGCUUUGAAUUGGAUUUUCUUGUUGAUCCCUUUGUUGCUGUUAUAUGGUGGUUUUUGGUAAGUUAUGCAGGCUAGUUUUGAGCAUGCUAGUAGUGUUCUUGAGUAUCUUUAAAUACUUCAAUUAAUACAUAAUAUAUAUUAUGGCUUUGUUUAAAUAUCAUGUCUUUACCACUUUCGUCAAGUGCAACUUAGAUGCAGCACUCUCCUCGACAGAAAACAAGGCUGGACUGGGAGCGUGCAUAAGGGUCGAUAAAGGACAGUUUGUAGCAGCUAUGACAGCAAGCAUCAACGCAAAGUUUUCGGCAGCGGAAGCAGAAGCAUGGUGUUUGCAGCAAAGUCUUCAAUGGAUAUCAACACUUGGCUACACUAAGGUCUGGAAGAAUUAUGUAUGUGAGGUAUCUGAAUCGGGUAUUUGCACUACAGUUGGUAGGGUGACCCCAGAAAUUUACGCGCAAUUCGCAGCCGCAGCUAAGGAAAGCUAUGCAUUGGAACAUUAUGCUCCACUCUUACUUAGCCUUCAGAAUUGCAAUUUUGUCAGGGAUGCAUUCACUGGAAUAACUUCAAGUCACUGUCCUCCAUUAAAGCAUUAGUGAAGUGUCUGUGAAGCUAUCCUUAAAAGAAAAAAUAAAGAGCAGAUUUAACAAGAACCAGAAUAGCACAAAUUUAGUAUUGCCAAAUGCAAUUAGUGAAGUAUAGAUUGUAAAAUAGAAUAUUUGUUGAUAAAGAAGCAAGCUACUAUUGUUUUUACUGUACUCUAUAUACUAAAGGAAUAAGCAAAGGUGGAGCGAAGCUGCCGCCUGAGUUAGAAGUUAAUAGAAAACCUAGUGUACUACUUAGUUUGUUCAUAUA
Molecule: long non-coding RNA, 4047 nt
Organism: Trifolium pratense (red clover)
Lineage: Eukaryota; Viridiplantae; Streptophyta; Magnoliopsida; Fabales; Fabaceae
Exons: 3
Source: RefSeq, a predicted model, not a curated record